RNAcentral lists this ribosomal RNA (492 nucleotides) under uncultured bacterium. RNAcentral describes it as "partial 16S ribosomal RNA". It matches the Rfam family "Bacterial small subunit ribosomal RNA", at positions 29 to 507 of the family's 1533-position model. The record is from RNAcentral.
AGCGAACGCUGGCGGUAGGCCUAACACAUGCAAGUCGAACGGCAGCACAGUAAGAGCUUGCUCUUACGGGUGGCGAGUGGCGGACGGGUGAGGAAUACAUCGGAAUCUACUUUUUCGUGGGGGAUAACGUAGGGCAACUUACGCUAAUACAGCAUACGACCUACGGGUGAAAGCAGGGGUUCUUCGGACCUUGCGAGAUCGAAUGAGCCGAUGUCGGAUUAGCUAGUUGGCGGGGUAAAGGCCCACAAAGGCGACGAUCCGUAGCUGGUCUGAGAGGAUGAUCGCCAACAUGGGAACUGAGACACGGCCCAGACACUUAGGGGAGGCAGCGGAGGGGAAUCUUGGACAAGGGGGGCAAGCCGGAUCCAGCAAGACGGCGUAGGCGAGGAAGGCCUUCGGUCGGUAAAGCCCUUUUGUUGGGAAAGAAGUGCAGCAGGUUAAUACGCCCAUGUACUGACGGUACCCAAAGAAUAAGCACCGGCUAACUUCGUG